AUAAAGCGUUGCGCCCCUCGAAGGAGCAAAUCGGGUGCUAUCUCAACUUUGUGCGGGCUCAUCCUGAAAUAAAGAUGCAUAAAAACGACCCAUCGCGGCCGAAAAGGGUUGAAGAGCUUUGGGCGGAACUCUCCGUACAAUUAAAAGGGCCCACCCGAAACCCCAUCAAAUGGAGAGAGAAUCUGAGUCAUUGGAAAAAUCAAAUACGGUCACGUGCAAGGAGAGCCAAGGCGCACAAGCUGGUGGCAGGUGGCGGUCCCAGCUAAACAAUUAAGCUCUCUGAAACGGAGCAGAGAGCAUUGAAUACUUUGGGGUCAAUCGCGAUUGAUGGGUUGGUUGAUGUACCCGCCAUUGGCACAGAGGAAGAAAUAGAUUUCAUAGCUGCAUUAUCACCCCUGAUGACGACUUCGGAUGCGUCCAAUGACUGCACUCCGUCAGCGUUCCGUACCAAAAAAAUGACGACGGACGAAAUGUUCAGGAAUUACAUGGAUUUGAUGAAAGGAGAAGCCGAGGAGGAGAGAGCUUUCCGGAUUCAAACAUAAGAUUCCAUUAACAAACACAUGGAAUCUAUUAAGAAUUUAGCGGCAGCGGUGGUGUAGCUUGCUCAGACCAUUGUAAAAAACAGAGAAGAUUGUACAAAAAAUUGAAAGUGAAAAUUGUGUCUUUUUA
Molecule: long non-coding RNA, 669 nt
Organism: Bactrocera tryoni
Lineage: Eukaryota; Metazoa; Arthropoda; Insecta; Diptera; Tephritidae
Exons: 3
Source: RefSeq, a predicted model, not a curated record